This 503-nucleotide ribosomal RNA is filed under the name uncultured Desulfobulbus sp. Its description in RNAcentral is "bacterial SSU rRNA". It matches the Rfam family "Bacterial small subunit ribosomal RNA", at positions 904 to 1382 of the family's 1533-position model. Lineage: Bacteria; Pseudomonadati; Thermodesulfobacteriota; Desulfobulbia; Desulfobulbales; Desulfobulbaceae. The record is from RNAcentral.
GCCAGCCCGCUCAGAAACUCAAUGAAUUGACGGGGCCCGCACAAGCGGUGGAGUAUGUGGUUUAAUUCGAUGCAACGCGAAGAACCUUACCUGGUCUUGACAUCCCGGAGACCCUUAGGAAACUAGGGGGUGCUUCCAUCUGGAAGAAUCUGGAGACAGGUGCUGCAUGGCUGUCGUCAGCUCGUGUCGUGAGAUGUUGGGUUAAGUCCCGCAACGAGCGCAACCCUUGCCUUUAGUUGCCAGCAGUUCGGCUGGGCACUCUAAAGGGACUGCCGGUGUUAAACCGGAGGAAGGUGGGGAUGACGUCAAGUCCUCAUGGCCUUUAUGACCAGGGCUACACACGUACUACAAUGGCCGAUACAAAGGGCAGCGACACUGCGAGGUGAAGCCAAUCCCGUAAAAUCGGUCUCAGUCCGGAUUGGAGUCUGCAACUCGACUCCAUGAAGUUGGAAUCGCUAGUAAUCGUGGAUCAGCAUGCCACGGUGAAUACGUUCCCGGGCCUU